Molecule: transfer RNA, 64 nt
Filed under: Dicranocephalus sp.
Lineage: Eukaryota; Metazoa; Arthropoda; Insecta; Hemiptera; Stenocephalidae
Description: tRNA-Asp
Source: RNAcentral
AAGAAAUUAGUUUAAAAAAAACAUUAAUUUGUCAAAUUAAAAAUAUUAAUCUUAAUAUUUCUUG